AUACGGAGGAUCCGAGCGUUAUCCGGAUUUAUUGGGUUUAAAGGGAGCGUAGGCGGACGCUUAAGUCAGUUGUGAAAGUUUGCGGCUCAACCGUAAAAUUGCAGUUGAUACUGGGUGUCUUGAGUACAGUAGAGGCAGGUGGAAUUCGUGGUGUAGUGGUGAAAUGCUUAGAUAUCACGAAGAACUCCGAUUGCGAAGGCAGCCUGCUGGACUGUAACUGACGCUGAUGCUCGAAAGUGUGGGUAUCAAACAGGAUUAGAUACCCUGGUAGUCCACACAGUAAACGAUGAAUACUCGCUGUUUGCGAUAUACAGUAAGCGGCCAAGCGAAAGCGUUAAGUAUUCCACCUGGGGAGUACGCCGGCAACGGUGAAACUUAAAGGAAUUGACGGGG
RNAcentral lists this ribosomal RNA (393 nucleotides) under uncultured bacterium. RNAcentral describes it as "partial 16S ribosomal RNA". It matches the Rfam family "Bacterial small subunit ribosomal RNA", at positions 523 to 918 of the family's 1533-position model. The record is from RNAcentral.